This 275-nucleotide ribosomal RNA is filed under the name uncultured bacterium. RNAcentral describes it as "partial 16S ribosomal RNA". It matches the Rfam family "Bacterial small subunit ribosomal RNA", at positions 338 to 610 of the family's 1533-position model. The record is from RNAcentral.
CCUACGGGUGGCUGCAGUGAGGAAUAUUGGUCAAUGGGCGAGAGCCUGAACCAGCCAUCCCGCGUGCAGGAAGACGGCCCUAUGGGUUGUAAACUGCUUUUGCGCAUGAAGAAUGUUACCGACGUGUCGGUAAGUGACGGUAAUGCGUGAAUAAGCAUCGGCUAACUCCGUGCCAGCAGCCGCGGUAAUACGGAGGAUGCAAGCGUUAUCCGGAUUUAUUGGGUUUAAAGGGUGCGUAGGCGGCCUUGUAAGUCAGUGGUGAAAACCUGCAGCUC